Molecule: unclassified non-coding RNA, 7150 nt
Filed under: Hevea brasiliensis (rubber tree)
Lineage: Eukaryota; Viridiplantae; Streptophyta; Magnoliopsida; Malpighiales; Euphorbiaceae
Source: RNAcentral
GCGAGACAUUCGUGAUUCAUUAAUUGUAUACUUAGAACAUUGAUAAAUCAUAAUUGAAAUAUUUUAACCAGUGGCUGCCACCUGGAACAGGACUAUACUGAAUGAACAUAUAACUUUGCUCCUAACAAACGGUAACAAUCAUAUUAGCUAAAUCAAGUCCCAUUACACACGACUCCAUAGAUCGGAAUUACAAUAUAGGACUGAUCCAUUCUUCAUUUCUUCUCAGAAGAAUGUGGCUUUCACAUUGUAGGAUCUACAAUUCAUGACAAAAAGUAAGCAUUCAACAUUCACAUGUAAUUAUUUCCAAGGGUUCAAUAUAGCAAUCUCUACCAUCUAAAAGGCUGACUCAGCUACACAUACAUGAAUAAUUCUGCAUUUAGACUACUAAAAUAAUAAUAUGGUAACCUGAUAUGCGUGGAUUGUCUAGGACCAAAUAUUUACAAUUUCAGACAAACAUCGAAGCUCAGUCAUCAGAUGAUCUGAAUCAGGCCUCUAUAGUUAGAUCUGGUACAGAUAAAUGUAAUGAAUCUGAGCUUAGAUUGAACAUUUGCUUUGAAGUACGCUCACUUUUAUGAUGAACUCUCACUGAUUUAUUUGGAAUUUUAUGAACGUGAUUGGCCCCAAAAUAUCUUCAAUUCAAACGGCUGUUCCCAUUUCUUGAGACUUGACUAGUUCUUCAAUGCAAUGUUCUUGUUCAAAACCAAGGUAACAAUCAGAAAUUAACAUCAAUUUUGUCCCCUGUAAAGUGGUCAAGGAUGAUGGUAUAUCCAUGCGAGUAACCAAGUGAUCAGAGAAAGAAACUCUCUUCAGAGCAUAUAGUUCAGAGGUGGAUGAGUUGCCAAGAACUAACCACCAUGCUUCAUCUUUUACCUUAGGAAAUCGAGGGACAAAAGCCCUUGAUGUGCCUUUCCUGGAGUUUGUCUUCUCCAAUUUGAUGUUCAGGGAAAGAGACUGUUUGCCAUCAGUGUCCGUCUUCUGAAGUUUUAACUUUGUUUUAAUGGAGGGAAAAUGAUGCAGAUCCUGAUACAAUCUUGAAGCAGGAAAAUUUCCAAUCAUAGCCUGCAAAGUUGCCUUGGGAAGAUCCAACAGAUGCUGCACAGUGGAGAUUCCUUUUUUGUUCAAUGAUGACAAAAGAUCAGUAUUCAUGCAUGGCAACAUCCACAGGGAAGAAUCUUUUUCAAACCACAGACCCUGCAUGACCAUUUGCAAAAGAUGCAUGCAAGUAAUUGAGCUUAAAAGCCACCCACUAUUGGCACAAAUAUCUAUCAUGGCCUGUAUGAUACGUAUACUUUGAUCUAACACUGAUUUCAAAUCUGUCACAUAAUCACUGAUGGGUAACUCUAACUGGGAAAAAUGAGCCUGAAAUAGCAGAUUUGCUUUGACAUGUGGAUCAUCUAAGCGAUUCUUGUCCACCAUAUAUCGAACUCUCUGAGACAAUGCUUCAUUAUAAUUUUCCUCGUUAUGCCGCACAGGAAGUUCAUCAUAUUCAGAAGCACCAGAUAGAAUAUGCAAAAACACUUCAAGAGAUGUAUCUGGCCCUAUAUUUGAUCCAAACAUUGAAACAGUCAUGUAGCUAAGGUAAUACUGUGAUGCUAUCAUGCCCAACAUCAUAGACUCCACAUUGUCUUCAUUCAUCUUGAUGCACCCACUGUCUUCCAGAUCCUCAAAUGUGUUUUGCACUAAUCUAGACAUAUAAGAACUCAGAGUUUCAGGUUCUGCAUUCUCUAGACCAUAGUAGGCGGGAUUAACCAUCAGUCUACGGAAUAAGUAAGUCCAUGUAAGGUAAUGCACUGCAUCCUCUUUAUGGCAAAUUGUGCCAGUAACUAUCUCUGCAUUGAUGUGAUCAUGCAGCUGCUCCUUUAGACUACUCUCAACAGGAAAUGGUUCGUACAAAAACUUUUUAUAGAAGCUCUUCUUAGGUUCAUGAACAAGAAUGACAGCUUUUCCAUGCUGAUCAUAUUGUGGGCGGCCUGCACGACCCAUCAUUUGCAAGAUAUCUGUGAUGGGAAAAUCAACGUAUCUCUUUGUCUUUCCAUCGUAAUAUUCUGUUCCCUUGAUAAUAACCAGAUGAGCAGGAAGAUUCACCCCCCAAGCAAGUGUGCUUGUGCACACUAACACCUGGAUCUUGUUGUUUGCAAAAAGUUCCUCAACCAGAGAUCUGUCUUUGUCAUUUAGUCCUGCAUGGUGUAACCCAAUGCCAAAUUGUAAGGUGUGUCUCAGGUUCUGAUCAGUGAUCUGAGAAAGAACCAUCUGCAAUGCUUCUUCUGUCAUACUCAGAAAUUGCCUUGGAUGCUCAUCUGCCGCUGCAAACUGAAUAAGGUCAAGUGCAGUAAGCCUCGUUUGGCGACGAGACGAUACAAAUAUGAGUACUGGCUUUAUAGGUGAAUGGGUACAUAUUGCAGCGUAUGCUGGUUUGUUCAUGCUAUUCAUCCUUGGGCAGUAAUACUUCCCAGGAUAUCCCUGGAUAUGUACUUCCAGAGGCACAGGCCUUACACUUGGCUUGAAAUUGAAAAGUCCAAUUUCACCAACUCCCAACCAAUCAGACAAAUCUCCUGCAUUUGCCAAAGCUGUUGAAAGACCUACAAAACGUACUGCCCGCUCUGUUUGGGAUGAUAUGUAUCUCAUCCUUGAAACAAUAACCUCAAGGAUAGGUCCACGAUCAGCACCCAAUAAGUGAAUCUCAUCCAAAAUCAUAAGCCCAACCUUCGUCACAUAGCUUCGAGUAUGCCAAUUACGACUAAUACCAUCCCACUUCUCAGGGGUAGAUAUGAUGAUAUCUGCUGACAAGAGGGCCAUCAAAUCUGGAGUAUAAUCUCCAGUCAUUUCAACCAUCUCUUUUCCAAGCUGAGAGACGAGACGUUUUCUCCAAUCAUUCAUUCUCUCUCGUACAAUAGCCUUCAAAGGUGCUAUGUAAAUAACCUUCAUAUCAGGCUGAGUAUUGAAGAGACGAAGCAUAGCAAGUUCAGCAGAUAUAGUUUUCCCACUACCAGUGGGAGCUCCUAACAAAACAUUGGUGUCUGUGUGAUAAAGGACAUGAAAAAUCUGUGUUUGUAUAGGAUUAAAAUGUGAAAAAUUGUAUAAAGCUUCAUAUGUAGUGUUUCCAAGUGACGUCACAGGGAGAGGUUUUAGAUCUAGAAGUUCAGUAUGCAUAGUACGAGCCUCUGGCAGUGCUAGAUUAUGGAAUGAAAUAGUGUAGAAAGCUUCCGCAUGCAACCAAGAAUCAGAAACAGCACGAAUGUAGUAUUGUGGUGGAUGUGGUUCAAAAAUUGGCACAGUAAAUGUGAGCUUCUGAGGAUCUGCCCGUGCCAUGCGCUUUGUCAAAGUGAAAAGCUCUGAAUGGUAGAUAUGAUCAUUCUCAGAAUCCUCAACAAGAAUCCACCAACGUUGUGCAGCACCAUGAAAACGAUCUUUCCAAAUGAAGUCUGGAGUUAUGAGCAAAUUCACCUUCAAAACAGUCCUGGUUAUUGGACUUACGGUUGCCGAUAACUGGAUCCACGGGAAGUACCCUAAAUAUUGCUUAAUCAACUUCCCUCCAUGGGGAUAACGAAUAAGUGCUCCAAUAUCUCUUUCCUCCAUCUCCUGUAGACGAUCUAAAUCAGCACCCCGUUCUUCAAGCUUCCGCAUUAUUUCUGCUGAAAGAUCCUUGUCAAAUUGUCUAAGUGGAUGUUGGUGAGGCCAAAUUUGGCGAUCUACAGCCUUGCAAUAUUCUAACAUGAAUAAGGACAUCUCACUCCAGCCUCUGCGCAAACAAAUUUCAAAUAAUGCACGCAUGAUUCGAGCCAAGCUCGCACUUAUGUAUGCAGCAUCAGAGACCAACGAAAAUGUAUCAAUCGAGCCGCGAGAUAUGUACAACUGAAUGAGAAUUGAAAUUUUUCCGUGUUUAUUGGAAGGACCACCCCUAACUUCAAGAGGGCAUGACAUGCGCAACAACAUCUCAAGCUCAUUCUGCUCUUCCUCUCUAACAACAAUAUUCUCAAACUCAGAAGAAUGGGCAACCAUGUCGAUAACCUCACUAUCAUUCAUAUGACGUCUCAACAUCUCAUUGUAAGUUUCAACACUAGAAUAUUGGAUAUAGAAGUGGCUUGCUAUGCGGCCAAGCUCUGUACAGUAGAAGUUGCCACUUUUCUCAUCAAAACGCAUCAUUUUAGCUUUGUCAAGUGCACGUGCAGCAUCUGUUAUGAGAGCUCUCUGCUUUAAACUCAAAGAAGGAUCUGCAAUAACCUCAUCCCAUCCAAUACCAUAUGCCAAAGGAUUCUGCCUCAUCCUGAUGAAAAGGUAGGUAUACCCGAGCCAUGCACAGGCUUCCUUGACAUUAGUGACAGUACCCAAUGCCACUUCUGCAUUUAAAUUAUCUUUUAAGGAGCUAAUAAACUGACUUUCUAUGGGAAGUUGACUUGUCAGCAAUCUUAGAUAGUAGGCCAGUUUGUCAUGAGACGUGAUUAUAAUGCCUUCACCACUCUUGUCAAAUUGAGGUCUCCCAGCCCUUCCAAAGAUCUGCAUAACAUCAAGCAUGCCUAGGUCUCGCCACCCACCAGCCUUAGGAUCAUACAAUUGGGUCCCCUUAAUCACAACAGUGUGAGCAGGCAGAUUUACACCCCAUGCCAAAGUUGCUGUGCAAACAAGUACCUUCAAGAGUCCAUCAGAGAAAAGUUGCUCAGUCAAAACCCUAUCAGCACGUAACAUCCCAGCGUGAUGAAUGCCAACAGCAAAUUCAAAAAGUUCAACAACAUCCUUGUUUCUAGACUUAACAACCUCUUUCUUAAUCAAGGAAAAUUGAGGAUGUGCAUCAUUUUUAAAGAGCUCCAAAUCAUCAUACUUUCGAGCAAUCUCAACUAGUUUCUCAGCUGUUUUUGCUGUAUCCUUUCGCGAAUGAACAAAAACCAUUGCCUGAUGACCUUGCCUCAAUGACUCAACAACCUUCCUAUAACAAAUUUCAUUCAAUAACUCAUUGCGAGCUGCAAAGUUCUGCUCACUAAUUCCAAUAUACUGUUGUGCAAGAGGCACAGGACGAUAACUAGAAUCAAAGAAGAAGAGGCCUGUCUCUGGAUUCACUCUAAGAAAUUGAGCAACCUCCAAAUAAUUGGGUAAAGUGGCUGAAAGUCCUACAAUGCGUAUCAUUGUCUGUGUUGACUCCACCUGGCGCAGUGUCCUAGCAACAAGUGCUUCUAUCACAGGGCCUCUAUCAUCGUUCAAAAGAUGCACUUCAUCAAUAAUUAAGAGCUUCACCAGCAUUGAAAGUGACAUGUCACUGCUUUUACGAGUAAUGACAUCCCAUUUCUCAGGUGUUGUCACUAUCAUCUGAGUUUCUUCAAGUUCAUUCUUAGAGAGCUGCAUGUCACCAGUAAGUUCUCUCACAACCAUAUUCAGCGGAGAUAAACGAUGGCUAAAUGUUGAUGUGACCUCUGCAGCUAAUGCCUUCAUAGGAGCAACAUAAACUAUCUUAAAUUCAUCUUUGUGCAAGUAACCAUCCUUGAAGUGCUGUCCAAUCUCAUGCAGAAUAGAAAUCAUAGCUAUAUUUGUUUUGCCAGCUCCUGUUGGCGCACAAACAAGUAUAUUCUCAUUAGUGUAAUAAACAGUUUGAAAUAUCCGGCUCUGGAUUCGGUUCAAUGAUUUGUAUCCAUGAAAUGCAGCUUGAGCAAAAUCAUCUAACUCCUUUAUCUCAAUCAGCUUUUCUCCAGGUUUCAUUUGUGCAGUUGGUGUUGGAGGGAUGACAACUUCCUCAUAGCCCUUGUAAUGUUUCCUGACAGUACCUUGAGGAAGAGCAGUUACUGAUAAUGCAUGGGGCCCUGGGCCAGCGCCAAUCAGAUCGUCCAACAGAUUUUUCCUCUCACUUGCUUGAAGUAAAGAAGAAAAACUUGCAGCUGAUGUGUCAUUAUCAACCCCAUGUUCUGUUCCACGUCUAUUUCGCUUUUCCUCCUUCCGCCGAAGUUUAUCAAUCUGCCUUUCUGAUUCUGUUUGGACGGUAACCUGAGUGCCAUAACUGGGCAUACGUGAUUGAGUGCUUGAUGCCAUUUUAUCUGAUUUCAGUACUGACCAUCCAUGACGGAUUGCGUCAACAAGUUCCUUCCGAUGCGUUAUAAGGUCUUGAACAGUUUCAAAUGCACUAUCCCCAACAAGAUCCAACAAGUCACUGGCUAUCUUAAAUACAGAAGGAAGAAUAAAAAGUAAGAAAUAGUUUCUGACAGUAGGCAUGCUCAAAGUUGGCAUCAACAAAUUCAGAGAAUGUUAACUAUAACCGGUACCUCCUCGCCAGGUUUAUCUGAAUCAAGUACACGGCAUAUAGCCAUUGCCAGAUCAUCUUGGGAAAGCUGCGAAGUACUUUCUCUAACUAUCUGGUCACAUGCAUCUCUUAACCAACUUAAAUUGAAUUUCCCACCAUCAUCAGCAGAAUGAUUCUGGCCACAGUCAUUAUGAUCUUGCCAUCCAUCCUGAAACAAAGAAGAAGAUCCAGUGGUUUCCUCUCCCUCCUCAUCCUCCAAAGUAACAUCCACUAGAAACCUGGCUGGAGUUUGGAAAGCAAGGUCAGCCCCAAAUUCUAGAUCACUGCCGCUUCCAUUCACAUGGCUCUCUAAGACAAGUGCAGACUCAGGGCUGGUAGGUUGCAAACUGGAAAGCCUCUGUGCUAAGGUGGCAACUCUCUGGAUGUUAGCAUCUGAAACCGCAUGACCAGUAAGUUUUUGCAAUUCUGACUUCUUCUUGAGAAUAUUGGAAUGAUAAUUAUCUUCCUCUCCUGGUCCUGGUCCUCCAAAUAGAUGGUAGGCAGUGAGUGCCACCACACGGAACUCUUCAGAUGGCACCUCUCUGUCUAUUAAGUCCACUACUGCCCCAAUAAAAUGCUUGUAAGCUUGUCUCACUUCUGUUGAGGCUUCUUCCCAUCGAUCAACUAUCUUCCUUGCAAGCUCCGAUUCAUUAAGUGAAUUUGCAGUAUUGCUAUGCUUGAGAUGUUUCUGAAGGAUGAUCUUGCGCUGGAGAUAGGCUUGAUCGACGUCGAAUGGAUCUCUGAGAGAGUUUGUCAACCGAGGUAAUUGCAUUAGCAUUUUUCCGCCCGUGAUUGAUACUGAAACCCUAGAAUAUACCGUAAAGAGGAAACAGUGAAGCAGGCGCCACUGCGAACUACCGCCUCUGCAAAUUUUGCAGGUCUGGAUUUUAU